This 253-nucleotide ribosomal RNA is filed under the name uncultured bacterium. RNAcentral describes it as "partial 16S ribosomal RNA". It matches the Rfam family "Bacterial small subunit ribosomal RNA", at positions 524 to 776 of the family's 1533-position model. The record is from RNAcentral.
UACGUAGGGGGCGAGCGUUGUCCGGAAUUAUUGGGCGUAAAGAGCGUGUAGGCGGUUCGGUAAGUCUGCCGUGAAAACCUGGGGCUCAACCCCGGGCGUGCGGUGGAUACUGCCGGGCUAGAGGGUGGUAGAGGCGAGUGGAAUUCUCGGUGUAGCGGUGAAAUGCGUAGAUAUCGAGAGGAACACCUGCGGCGAAGGCGGGUUGCUGGGCCGACACUGACGCUGAUGCGCGAAAGCCAGGGGAGCGAACGGG